CCUACGGGGGGCAGCAGUGGGGAAUAUUGGACAAUGGGGGGAACCCUGAUCCAGCCAUGCCGCGUGUGUGAAGAAGGCCCUCGGGUUGUAAAGCACUUUCAGUGAGGAAGAACGCCUGGUGGUUAAAACCCAUCAGGAAAGACAUCACUCACAGAAGAAGCACCGGCUAACUCCGUGCCAGCAGCCGCGGUAAUACGGAGGGUGCGAGCGUUAAUCGGAAUUACUGGGCGUAAAGCGCGCGUAGGUGGCUUGAUAAGCCGGUUGUGAAAGCCCCGGGCUCAACCUGGGAACGGCAUCCGGAACUGUCAAGCUAGAGUGCAGGAGAGGAAGGUAGAAUUCCCGGUGUAGCGGUGAAAUGCGUAGAGAUCGGGAGGAAUACCAGUGGCGAAGGCGGCCUUCUGGACUGACACUGACACUGAGGUGCGAAAGCGUGGGUAGCAAACAGGAUUAGAUACCCUAGUAGUC
RNAcentral lists this ribosomal RNA (465 nucleotides) under Vreelandella stevensii. RNAcentral describes it as "partial 16S ribosomal RNA". It matches the Rfam family "Bacterial small subunit ribosomal RNA", at positions 338 to 795 of the family's 1533-position model. The record is from RNAcentral. Lineage: Bacteria; Pseudomonadati; Pseudomonadota; Gammaproteobacteria; Oceanospirillales; Halomonadaceae.